CAGGGACAUGGGGACAGCCAUGGGACAGACAGGGACAUGGGGACACACAGGGGACACAGGGAUGUGGGACACACAGGGACAGCCAGGGGACACUGGGGACACAUAGGGACGUGCAGGGAUGUGGGGACACACGGGGACAGCAAGGGGACUUUGGGGACAUCAGGGACAUCGAGGGGGACACAGGGACAUCAGGCUACAGGGGCAUUGGGGACACACAGACAGACACAGGGGACACAGGAACACAGGGGGACAGAAGGACACAGGGGACACAGGGACACAGGGGACAGAAGGACACAGGGGACACAGGGACACAGGGGACACAAGGAUGUGGGGGUGACACAGGCCCAUGUAGGACACGAGUAACACAGAGGUGACACGGGGACACCAAGGGACCUGGGGACAUGCUGUUGCCCAUGUGUGUCCCCACAAUUGUCCCCAAGUCCCUGGCUGGCCCCAGGGUGUCCCCAUGUGCCUGAGUGUGUCCCCAGAGGUGUCCCCACAUCCCUGUGAUGCCAGGGGUGUCCCUGGGGCUGUCCCCAUGUCCCUGGGCUGUCCCNGCCUGGGUGUCCAACAUGCCGCACCUGUCGGCCGACAUCGAGAGCGCGCACAUCGAGCGCGAGGAGUACAAGCUCAAGGAGUACUCCAAGUCCAUGGACGAGAGCCGGCUGGACCGGGUGAAGGAGUACGAGGAGGAGAUCCACUCGCUGAAGGAGCGGCUGCACAUGUCCAACCGCAAGCUGGAGGAGUACGAGCGGCGCCUGGUGACGCAGGAGGAGCAGACCAGCCGCAUCCUCCUGCAGUACCAGCAGCGCCUGGAGCUCAGCGAGAAACGGCUCCGGCAGCAGCAGCAGGAGAAGGACUCGCAGAUCAAGAGCAUCAUCGGCAGGUGAGGGACACACGGGGACAGCGGGGACACCCUGGGGACACGGGGACACAGGGACAUGGGGAUAUGGGGACAGACAGGGACACAAAGGGACACAGGCACACAGGGACUCGCAGAUCAAGAGCAUCAUCAGCAGGUGAGGGACACACGGGGACAGCGGGGACACCCUGGGGACAUGGGGACAGAUGGGGGACAUGGGGACACACAGGGACACACGGGGACUCGCAGAUCAAGAGCAUCAUCAGCAGGUGAGGGACACACGGGGACAGCGGGGACACCCUGGGGACACGGGGACAGACAGAGACAUGGGGACAUGGGGACAGACAGGGACACAAAGGGACAGGGGCACACAGGGACUCACAGAUCAAGAGCAUCAUCAGCAGGUGAGGGACACAUGGGGACAGCGGGGACAGCCUGGGGACACGGGGACAUCAAGGGGAGAGACAGGGGACAUGGUGACAUUGGGUACACAAAGGGACAUGAGGACACACGGGGACUCGCAGAUCAAGAGCAUCAUUGGCAGAUGAGGGACACAUAGGAACAGCAAGGACACCCUGGGGACACGGGGACAGAUGGGGGACAUGGGGACAGACAGGGUACACGGGGACAUUGGGUACACAAAGGGACAGGAGCACACAGGGACUCGCAGAUCAAGAGCAUCAUUGGAAGGUGAGGAACACACAGGGACAGCAGGGAGAGCCUGGGGACAUUGAGGGGACAUGGGGACACACAGGGGACAUGGGGACAGACAGGGAUAUGGGGGUACAGGGACACACAGGGACAAUGGGGGCAGACAGGGACAAUGGGGGCGUGGGGACACACAGGUACAUGGGGACACACAGGACAGCGGGGACAGCGGGGACACACAGGGACAUGAGGGUACAGGGACAUACAGGAGCACACGGGGACUUGCAGAGCAAGAGCAUCAUCGGCCGGUGAGGGACACACGGGGACAGCGGGGACAGACAGGGACACACAGGGACAUGCACAUAGACAGGGACACAGAGGACAGACAGGGACAAUGGGGACACAGGGACACUGGGGACACACAGGG
Molecule: long non-coding RNA, 1937 nt
Filed under: Zonotrichia albicollis (white-throated sparrow)
Lineage: Eukaryota; Metazoa; Chordata; Aves; Passeriformes; Passerellidae
Description: lncRNA (ENSZALG00000006240.1)
Source: RNAcentral